GCGUCAGUGGUUUAGUGGUAAAAUCCAUCGUUGCCAUCGAUGGGCUCCGCGUUGGAUUCGCGGCUGACGCA
RNAcentral lists this transfer RNA (71 nucleotides) under Immersiella caudata. RNAcentral's name for it is "Cercophora caudata tRNA". Lineage: Eukaryota; Fungi; Ascomycota; Sordariomycetes; Sordariales; Lasiosphaeriaceae. The record is from Rfam by way of RNAcentral.